AUGUCAAAGAGCGUGUGGUCCCUCCGAGACGAUGAUGAUGAUUCACUGCUACCUGUAUACGGCGAUGAGACGUCUGAUCCGAAGCUAUGGCUGCAUGGUCUCUGUAAUACGUUGAGCCAAGACAGGUUUGUUGUUGUUCUUACCACCCUAUGGGCGAUAUGGUGGGCGCGCCGCAAGGCUAUUCAUGAGCAGGAAUUUCAAAGUCCACUGUCCACGCAUUUGUUCAUUGAACGCUAUUUACAAGAGUUGAGAGAACUGCCAGCCAAAAAGCAAAAGAUCAAGAACACUAGUGGAGCUGCUAGUACAUCAGCGCCUAGAUGGAUACCGCCUUCACCAGGAGAGACCAAACUGAAUGCUGACGGGGCUGUGGCGAAGUCAUCAAAUAUUGGUGCCGUGGGUGUGAUCUGUCGCAACGCAGAGGGACAGUUUCUUGGCGCUUCUGCACUAGUCUUCAAGGGAGUAACCAAGCCUGCAACGCUUGAGGCUUAUGCAUGUAGAGAGGCUCUAGCUUUGGCAGAAGAUAUGGUCGUCACCAAAGUGCGUAUAGCAUCCGACUGUCUGAGAGAUAUACAUGAGACGAAGUCGAGUUUCCUUAGCUGUGAGUUCGUUCACGAGCAACGCGCUAGUAAUAGCGAGGCACUUAAUUUAGCGAGGAUGGCCACUACCUUAGAUAUCGGCCGUCAUGUGUGGCUCAACGGUCCUACGGAAUCGAUGGAAUUGGCCCGCCGUUCAUCUGGGGAUGGAGUUAUGGAGACGGUACCGUGCAUGUGUGUGUACUAUCUACUCCCUCCGUUCCAAAAUAGAAGUUAG
This 810-nucleotide ribosomal RNA is filed under the name Triticum aestivum (bread wheat). RNAcentral's name for it is "partial small subunit ribosomal RNA". The record is from RNAcentral. Lineage: Eukaryota; Viridiplantae; Streptophyta; Magnoliopsida; Poales; Poaceae.